This 65-nucleotide transfer RNA is filed under the name Cyrtonotula maculosa. RNAcentral describes it as "tRNA-Phe". It matches the Rfam family "tRNA". Rfam says of the family: Transfer RNA (tRNA) molecules are approximately 80 nucleotides in length. Their secondary structure includes four short double-helical elements and three loops (D, anti-codon, and T loops). The record is from RNAcentral. Lineage: Eukaryota; Metazoa; Arthropoda; Insecta; Blattodea; Blaberidae.
AUUUAAAUAGCUUAAUGAGAGUAUAACAUUGAAGAUGUUAGGGUGAUUAUUUUAAUCUUUAAAUA